This 216-nucleotide ribosomal RNA is filed under the name Glomeromycotina sp. Its description in RNAcentral is "partial small subunit ribosomal RNA". The stretch from base 75 to 216 matches the Rfam family "Eukaryotic small subunit ribosomal RNA", at positions 721 to 864 of the family's 1831-position model. Lineage: Eukaryota; Fungi; Glomeromycota. The record is from RNAcentral.
GGGUCAGUAGGUUGGUCGUGCCACCGGUACGUACUGGUCUCACUGAUCCCUCCUUCCUGAAGAACCGUAAUGCCAUUAAUUUGGUGUUGCGGGGAAACAGGACUGUUACUUUGAAAAAAUUAGAGUGUUUAAAGCAGGCUAACGCUUGAAUACAUUAGCAUGGAAUAAUGAAAUAGGACGAUCGAUCCUAUUUUGUUGGUUUCUAGGAUUGACGUA